UAUUGGGCGUAAAGCGAGCGCAGGCGGUUAGAUAAGUCUGAAGUUAAAGGCUGUGGCUUAACCAUAGUACGCUUUGGAAACUGUUAACUUGAGUGCAGAACGGGAGAGUGGAAUCCAUGUGUAGCGGUGAAACGCGUAGAUAUAUGGAGGAACACCGGUGGCGAAAGCGGCUCUCUGGUCUGUAACUGACGCUGAGGCUCGAAAGCGUGGGGAGCACACAGGAUUAGAU
Molecule: ribosomal RNA, 229 nt
Filed under: uncultured Streptococcaceae bacterium
Lineage: Bacteria; Bacillati; Bacillota; Bacilli; Lactobacillales; Streptococcaceae
Description: partial 16S ribosomal RNA
Rfam family: Bacterial small subunit ribosomal RNA
Source: RNAcentral